UAGAGAAUUCAAAAUUCGUUUUAGACAUAUAUUUAACUCCCUGUAUUUACAUUAACGGAAACAAAUAAACUUCCAAUAUUGAUAGACACUAAAAUACCAAAGUAGUCAAAAUGUUAUAUAUCAAUUCGACAGACGAAUGCAUUGACAAUUCCCUUUGGUGUUUGUAUUUAAAUGUCUGUUGUAAUAAAACAUAAUGAGUUGCCUGGCAGUGAAUCAGUGGUAGUAUUUGUAAAUAAGCCUCAUCAUUUUUUUUAUUCAAUUUAUUCCAAAUUCCCGAAUGAUUACCUCAGGAAUUUUACAUUGAUUAUCAGUGAUAAAAAAAAAUUAAACCGCUUUAGUCGUCAUCUGGAACCGUCUUAUCAUGUAAGAUAUUUUGUCUCGAGUAUAUCCAUCCUCCUGUACUACUGUAACAACAGCACGUGAAAAGGCCGUGAAAUGUCUGUGAAAUAUCACAGGGCCGUGAAAACCUUGUGAAAAUACCCCGUGACUUUUGUAAAAAAAAUAUUUCUAAAGGCCGUGAAAAAUAUUUGAUGUUAGAAAAAGACCGUGAAAUUUCAAUAUCCCGUGAAAAGGCCGUGAUAAUUUGUCCUUUCAUGCUUAAUAAAAAAUAUCACGGCCUUUUCACUGGUUGUUGAAACCAGUGAAAAGGCCGUGAUAUUUUUUCAUGUCAAUUUUUUCUUAUCCUUAUUCAGAUUUAAAACAUCCCAUGUGAUUAUUGUUAUAUGGUCUAAUUAUUUCCACUCACAUUUUUCUAAAUAUCCUAUAAACUUUUCAUUAUAAAUAUAUAUGUCUGUUUAAAUAUUAUUAUAUGCAAUACUACUGUACUGUACAGGACUGACUUUUAAAUGGAACCAUUCAUUGUUAUAAUUAAUGACUUUGUGCCAAUAAAUAUUUUGUAUUUAAAGAAAAGUAUUUUGCUUCUCGUCUGUACAUUAUUAUAAACAAUGUAAACAUUAAUUUUGAUAUUGGAACAGAAACAUGUAAAAACGAGAACUUCCCGGAAUAUCAGCCGUAUCCGGAUUCGUGUUUCUUUUAGAGUAAUUGUAACAUUUCCGCAAAAGGUUGGAAAUUUGAAAGGGUAUCGGGUCCGUUCGCGCCCAAUACACGUUCGCACCCUACACGUUCGCACCCCACACGUUCGCCCCCUAGGUCCGUUCGCACCCUACACGUUCGCACCCUUUUUUUUAUUCAAAAACCUGAUAAUUUUUUAGAUGUUUUGUAGAUGUUUAUAUCAAAAUAUUUUUAUUUUCAUAAAUAAAAAUUCGGGAAUUUUUAAAUGAAAUAUAGUUUUAAAUUGAUUUGAUGAAUAAAUAUUAAAUGUUAAUUAUGUAUGAUUACUGCUUAUUGGUAUUUAUUCACAGCCUAAUUUGGUGUUAUUGUUGAGUGUUUGAAAAUCAUGAUUGUUGUCAUGGUUGUUUUAACUUGCGUUGAUGUAAAUACUGCAUGUAUUUAGCUUGGUAUGAGUAAAACUUUGAAGAUUUAAAAAAAAAACAUGAAAGAUAAUUGUUUUUAACUGCUUGGCUCCUUUGAUCCCACGUGUGUCAGAAUCCCACUUUAUUCAUAAACAAUGAAAAAAACUAUUUAUAGCAAUACACUAUCCAAACAUGAUUAAAAAUUAUUCAACACAAAAAUAAAAUACUGGUCGUCAGAAUCUCACUUUAUUUUAAAACAAUGAAAAAAAUGUUUAUAGCAAUAUAUUUACCAUGACACAAAAAAAACCUUGUCAGAAUCUCACUUUAUUUAGAAACAAUGAAAAAAUAUAUAUUUAUAGCAAUACACUUACCAAAACUCGUUUACAAAUUAUUAAAAACAAAACCAAUAAAAAAUGGGCGCGAACGUGUAGGGUGCGAACGGACUUCGGGUGCGAACGUGUAGGGUGCGAAAGUGAAAGGGGGCGAACGUGCAUGGGGGCGAACGUGAUUGGGCGCGAACGGACCCGGAUUCAUUUGAAAGACGCCGAAGGUCGAUUAAUAUUUACUUUAUAGAUGCAAGACGAGUGACAGCAAGUUUGAGGAAUGAAGAGCAAAAGGAUAUAGCAGUCUUUAUAUAAAAUAGUUCAGGAAUCCAGUUGGAAAGAAGAGCUUUUCAGUAAAAAGUAUUUCCUGGGAAUUAACAGGAACUUCUAUAAAUGUUUUUCUGGAAUAGUUAUUCAAAAGAGCAGUGAAGUGAAGGAUUACAUUAGACAAAUAUUGCUGAAGUGGUAAAAUCACACCCAAGAGAUGUACAAAAUUUCUACAAUACAUGUUACAGCUGACUUUAGCUACUUAAUCACAUUGACAUUUGUGUGCUUUUAUGUUUUCUUUACAUAAUUACUACAGUUCUAUUAAAAUUAAUAUUUUUA
Mytilus californianus (California mussel) is the source of this 2341-nucleotide long non-coding RNA. RefSeq lists it as uncharacterized. The record is from RefSeq and is a predicted model, not a curated record. NCBI's taxonomy places the organism in Eukaryota, Metazoa, Mollusca, Bivalvia, Mytilida, Mytilidae. The transcript is spliced from 2 exons.